Molecule: long non-coding RNA, 1762 nt
Filed under: Salvia miltiorrhiza (redroot sage)
Lineage: Eukaryota; Viridiplantae; Streptophyta; Magnoliopsida; Lamiales; Lamiaceae
Description: long non-coding RNA (SMIL_LNC004896)
Source: RNAcentral
GAAAACAGAGAAGCUAACAAAAGUCAGGUCUCGUUAAAACCUUCAUGAAACGAAGGAAAAAUAGUGCUUGGAAAGGGGAACAAAAACAAGAAACAAGUCGAUAGCGAAAUCCGAGCUUCGGCAUGGUCAUCACCAAAAAAAAAAACGCUAACGAACGAGCCAAAGAAACGUCAUGAACAAGACCAAUUCGAGAUAGGAGCUUCGGACUAAGUAUCACCCCCAUUCCAAAUUAUUCUCGAUGACAACAACAUAAACAAGAACCUCGAAGAGACAAAAGACCAAGAGAUCCCACCGACAAGACGCCGGAAACGACCACCGGAGCAAAAGGCAAAAACCGUCGGAAACAGAAGAGCCCCGACACACCAGCCCGAGCUCGACAUGGCCCAAGUCCCAGCGCACCGGGAGCUUGAAAAAAGCCAUGCCAAGACCCGGCAAAAGAUUCAAUCGAGUGUUCUGGUUCGUGGUAAGGCAUUAAUUAAUGUCCGACGAGGUACCCUCCUCCUCGUCUAUUAUGUCGGCCCAAUUUUUCUUUGCCACAUUUGUCAUUGCUUUUAUGUUAGAGUUGUCACUCGGUUCAAUGACAAAGUCGCGCGGCUGUUUUCCAAAAGCACGAGCUAAUUUAUGCCGCUUUUUCACAACUUCCAUUCCCGAUUUUCUUGAUGAAUCUCUGAUUUCUAGAGAAGAACUUCUAGUAAUACUACUGUCAACACCUCCUUUCUGUUCCGCCGCGCGGUGAGGUUUUUUUCCUUUCGUUGUGGAUUUGAGGACCCGUUUCAUAGUUUUUUUAAAAGCUGCUUGUUUUUGUCUGGCAUAUUAAUCCAACUCGGCUUCUUUUUCCGCCACCCAAUCCACCCAAAUCUCAUGAUUGAUAUUUAUUUAGAGGGGCGAAAAUUUUACCUAGGUUCAAAUCUUAGACGGUGCGAAAAUUUCACCAUGAUAAUUGAAUACACUAUUCGUUAUUACAAAUAACUUAUUCAUAGAUUUAUAUUGUAUUAUUAUUAUUCUCAUUUUUGAUGAGAGGUAACGUUCUAACUAGAUCUUAGGAUAACCCGAAAGUGAUGAAGUAAAUGAACUUUUGACAAGUCAACCAUACUUUGAUGGUUAAUUACGUUGCUUAUGAUUUUAUUAUAUUAAUGACGAGAUUCUGAGUGUUAAUUAAUUGGACCAAUAUUAUUGCUGUGUCCAGUAUGCCCAGUAUAUAUGAAACUAUAUGAAAACGGUAUUACAUGAAACUACAGUCUAUAACAGUGGCGUCUUUACAUAAAUAAAUCCAAGGUCGGAAUCAGAAUAAAAAGUGGAACCAAAUUAAUUAAUUAAUUUAAAGUUUGUGAUGAACAUGGAUUUAAUUUAUUCUUUUUAGCCUCUAUUGCGUUAGGUAGAUGAUCUUCAACUUUAAACCCAAGAAUGAAAUUAUAUAUGCAUGAAGCAUGAUAUGCAUGCAUGGACGAAAACGAUGACAAAAAAAGUAAAGCAAAUAGAAUAAUGAAUAAAACAAAUAAAACAAUAAAUAUUAACGUACGUGGAUUUAUAAAUAAAGUAAACAAUAAUAUGGUAUCAUGGUGUGUAUCGAGCAAGAUUGCUCCUGUUAGUAUCUUUACUGAUUCGAUCCUUGCAGCAUGAGCAAUGGUGAAUGAAGAGGAAGACGCGCGCUAGGUGCCUUCUUGAGAUACUCCACGUUGCCAGGGAGAACUUUCUUUUUUGCGUUAAUGAUCAUGUGUAUAGAGAGGCCAAUAUGGCGGCACAUAGAUUAGCUCAAUUCUCG